UAUUUGAUAGCAUCAAAAUAUUAUAAUCCUCAAGUCAUAUUAUGAGAUGGGUUAUUUAUGACUAAAUAUAAUUAUCCUAAAUAAUAAUUUUAUUUUCCGGCAAUCGCGUGUUGUCGAGAAAUAUACCUACUACCUCUGUCCUAGAAAGACCUUGUCAUAAUAAUGAUACUAUGAGUAUAUAAUAAUAGAUUGAAAUUUUCCAUUGCAAUAAAAAUUAUACAGUAGCAUUCAAACAUAAUUUGUGUACCAAUCUUAGUUCGAUUCAAUAAUAUAUCAUUAUUAUAUAGUUAUUAAUUAUUACAAUACAAUAUCACGAUAAUAAUUUGUAUUUGUUAACUAAGGAGAACCGGAUAGGUUUUAUUUUACAUAUUUAAAAUGCCGUUGAUUCGGUCUAUAUGUUAAUAAAAUUAUUAAUAUUAAUAUUAUCAACAGAUAAACUGCUCAAACCUAUGAGGCACCUAUGAGGUAAAGUCAAAGUCUAAAUUGGUACCCAGAAUUUGCCAACACCAGCACAUCUUCAUUUUUGAAAUUUCUGGACGAAUUACUCGAUAACGUUCUAUUUUAUACUAAAUUAAAUUUAUUGCAGUUGUCCUAUAGCAAUUUGUUGAUGGUUUAUAACAAGUACAAUAUCGUCAAAUUUCAUAUAUAAUCGAUUUUCGAAAAAGCUUAUAUCAUCGACAUAUGAUAUUGAAAAAAAAAAACU
This is a non-coding RNA of Cinara cedri, 703 nucleotides long. The record is from the annotation of a GenBank genome assembly. Lineage: Eukaryota; Metazoa; Arthropoda; Insecta; Hemiptera; Aphididae.